This 439-nucleotide long non-coding RNA is filed under the name Ananas comosus (pineapple). Its description in RNAcentral is "long non-coding RNA (ACOM_LNC006072)". Lineage: Eukaryota; Viridiplantae; Streptophyta; Magnoliopsida; Poales; Bromeliaceae. The record is from RNAcentral.
AAUGUUGUUUAUGUUUAUAUUUAGGAUAAGCUUCAUAUAUCAUCCUCGUGAUUUCGCGCUUUCUUACUAUGGUAUCAUAUAGUUUAAAGUGUAUCAAGUUAGUGUUCUGUGAUUUUAUUUUUAUCUUUUUGUCAGCUUUUUCGUUAAUAUUUCGUUAAGUUAUAUACAAAAAACUUCAGAUACACUAUCUAGAUUUAUCGAAUAUUCACUUUUGUACACUUUAGUUUUAACUUUGUCACUGCUUUAAAGAAAAAAAUUAGUAGAAUCAAUAAUAAUGAGGUAAAAAUAAAAUUAACCAUAAGGCACUAAAUUGAUACACUUUAAAUCACAGAGUACUAAAGUGAGAAAAUGUGAAACCACACGGAUGGUAUUUGAAGUUUUUUCUUAUAUUUAUAUUUAUAUUUUUGGAAUUGUUGACAAGUCUAUGCAUAUUGGAGGA